GGGGUUCUGCUGUCUCCUGGGGAAUGAGUAUGAGGUUCUCAAACCUAUGCAGCAACAUCAGAGUUCUGGUUCCUCCUAGAAGCUCUGAAUUCAACCACUUCCUGCUUAAGGGUGGUACUCAUACUGUGUGGGGCUUUCUGCAUACACUGUAGGUGGAUGUGUGAGCAGCAGGCCGGAAAGAACACAGUCACAGCAUUGACAGAAGUUAGUGACUCAUAUUUUACUGGGUUUUCUACUGCCUGAUACAGGCAACAAUCAGAAGAUCUGUUUAUAUACAUCUAUCAAGGCAACCAUGUGACUGUACUAUAGUGUGCUACAUACUGGUGCUGCUGCACAAGGUCCUAAUAGUCAGUGCACUUCUUGGACGGGGCAGUGGCCUGGUCCCAGUGAAGAGUCCAUGAAGUUACUUACCCUGGCUAUUUGGUCUGCCAUUUGGAGACGUCCAUCCAGCUCUCGUCUGAUCUGGGCUGCCUGCUCAUCUGGAUUAUCCAGCUGCACAAAACACAAUCAUACAAACAGGGAGACUAUUAGUUUAGAGCAUCAAUGCUAAUAAACUUGUGGCUUUUCAUCUUAUACCACUCUGUGCCUCCAUCUUGAUCUAUGAAUUAAUUUCAAUAAAAUAUCUUAUAACCAA
Molecule: long non-coding RNA, 634 nt
Organism: Mastomys coucha (southern multimammate mouse)
Lineage: Eukaryota; Metazoa; Chordata; Mammalia; Rodentia; Muridae
Exons: 3
Source: RefSeq, a predicted model, not a curated record